CGAGUGAAGCGGCAACAGCUCAAAUUUGAAAUCUGGCUUCGGCCCGAGUUGUAAUUUGCAGAGGAUGCUUUUGGUGCGGUGCCUUCCGAGUUCCCUGGAACGGGACGCCACAGAGGGUGAGAGCCCCGUAUGGUCGGACACCAAUCCUGUGUAAAGCUCCUUCGACGAGUCGAGUAGUUUGGGAAUGCUGCUCUAAAUGGGAGGUAAAUCUCUUCUAAAGCUAAAUACCGGCCAGAGACCGAUAGCGCACAAGUAGAGUGAUCGAAAGAUGAAAAGCACCUUGAAAAGGGGGUUAAACAGUACGUGAAAUUGUUGAAAGGGAAGCACUUGUGACCAGACUUGGGCCGGGCGGCUCAUCAGGGGUUCUCCCCUGUGCAUUCCGCCCGGUACAGGCCAGCAUCGGUUCUUACCGGGGGAUAAGAACGGCAGGAACGUGGCUCCCUCUCGGGGGAGUGUUAUAGCCUGCCGUACGAUACCCUGGCGGGGACCGAGGUUCGCGCUUCCGCAAGGAUGCUGGCGUAAUGGUUACUAGUGACCCGUCUUGAAACACGGACCAAGGAGUCGUCCAUUAGAGCGAGCGUUUGGGUGUAAAACCCGCACGCGUAAUGAAAGUGAAAUUAGGUGAGAGCUUCGGCGCAUCAUCGACCGAUCCUGAUGUUCUCGGAUGGAUUUGAGUAAGAGUUUUAACGGACGGACCCGAAAGACAGUGAACUAUGCUUGUAUAGGGUGAAGCCAGAG
This 738-nucleotide ribosomal RNA is filed under the name Tubakia dryina. Its description in RNAcentral is "eukaryotic LSU rRNA". It matches the Rfam family "Eukaryotic large subunit ribosomal RNA", at positions 90 to 857 of the family's 3401-position model. The record is from RNAcentral. Lineage: Eukaryota; Fungi; Ascomycota; Sordariomycetes; Diaporthales; Tubakiaceae.